AUUGAACGCUGGCGGCAUGCCUUACACAUGCAAGUCGAACGGCAGCGGGCCUUCGGGUGCCGGCGAGUGGCGAACGGGUGAGCAAUGCAUCGGAACGUGCCAUUGAGUGGGGGAUAACGUAGCGAAAGUUGCGCUAAUACCGCAUAUUCUGUGAGCAGGAAAGCAGGGGACCGCAAGGCCUUGCGCUCUUUGAGCGGCCGAUGUCAGAUUAGCUAGUUGGUGAGGUAAAGGCUUACCAAGGCGACGAUCUGUAGCGGGUCUGAGAGGAUGAUCCGCCACACUGGAACUGAGACACGGUCCAGACUCCUACGGGAGGCAGCAGUGGGGAAUUUUGGACAAUGGGGGCAACCCUGAUCCAGCCAUGCCGCGUGAGUGAAGAAGGCCUCGG
This 388-nucleotide ribosomal RNA is filed under the name uncultured bacterium. Its description in RNAcentral is "bacterial SSU rRNA". It matches the Rfam family "Bacterial small subunit ribosomal RNA", at positions 30 to 420 of the family's 1533-position model. The record is from RNAcentral.